RNAcentral lists this ribosomal RNA (431 nucleotides) under uncultured bacterium. Its description in RNAcentral is "bacterial SSU rRNA". It matches the Rfam family "Bacterial small subunit ribosomal RNA", at positions 29 to 506 of the family's 1533-position model. The record is from RNAcentral.
ACGAACGCUGGCGGCAUGCCUAACACAUGCAAGUCGAACGAGACCUUCGGGUCUAGUGGCGCACGGGUGCGUAACGCGUGGGGAUCUGCCCUUCGGUUCGGAACAACAGUUAGAAAUGACUGCUAAUACCGGAUAAUGACGUAAGUCCAAAGAUUUAUCGCCGAAGGAUGAGCCCGCGUAGGAUUAGCUAGUUGGUAAGGUAAAAGCUUACCAAGGCGACGAUCCUUAGCUGGUCUGAGAGGAUGAUCAGCCACACUGGGACUGAGACACGGCCCAGACUCCUACGGGAGGCAGCAGUGGGGAAUAUUGGACAAUGGGCGAAAGCCUGAUCCAGCAAUGCCGCGUGAGUGAUGAAGGCCUUAGGGUUGUAAAGCUCUUUUACCCGGGAUGAUAAUGACAGUACCGGGAGAAUAAGCUCCGGCUAACUCCGU